Gavialis gangeticus (Gharial) is the source of this 1301-nucleotide long non-coding RNA. RefSeq lists it as uncharacterized. Lineage: Eukaryota; Metazoa; Chordata; Crocodylia; Gavialidae. The record is from RefSeq and is a predicted model, not a curated record. The transcript has 2 exons.
UGGCUAGGUGGUAGGAAAUCAGUUGUCCUGUUGGCUUCUGAGGUGCUGGGGGGGAAUAUUUCUAUUUGCUUGAUUUCACUGGUUGCUAGUCUCCAUUGCAGACUACCUGCUGAAGCAAGAAGCAGAGUUUCGAGAGAAGCAAGUGGAUUUUCACACGUUUAGGUGUUUCGCUUGUGCUGCAAACAUGGGAGGCAAAUUUAGCAAGAAGGGGUUUUGCCUUGCAUGUGAGAGACCAAUAGCCCAGCAGGUAGAAGAGGCUAUAGAAGCUGUUGCAGAGGAGUAUGAGGACACCCCACCUGCUGCAGCAACAAACUUGCUCAAGAAUGGGCAAAGCAACAAAGACUUCCAGGUCCCUGCUGAUGAGAUUGAAGAUGAGGAAAGAGGGGGAGACUCUUUAAUGGGCUCAGAGCAACCAAACAUCUUGCUAAAGCAAGACCCUGCAGAUGCAAUUGUAGGAGCCUUUAGAGACAGACCCUUGCCAGGUUCUGCAAGUACAACAACUGUUAAAAUUGAGCUGACGGGGAAGUACAUGAAAAGAUGCCUCUUCCACAAGGCACCUCUGCAUCAAGGCUACUAACCUCUUCCAGAAUGCCCCUAGUAACAUGAAAUAAAACCUUGGGCUGCAGCACAUGCAAAUACUCAAAGGGCUGUGGUGAUUUAGUACUUCUUGUUACCAGGGGGAAUGGACAAACUGCAUUUUGUUGAAUGGUACUUCUCUGUUGCACCAUUUCUUGCUCUUGUGCUAUGUAGUCUAGCCUUGCUGCAUAGAACAAGACUGUCUUGGGUGGUGGGGAAGCUUCCCCACCACAUUUUUACAGAAUACCUUCUUUCUCUACCAGUUUUUUUUUACAGACCUGAGUUCUCCAGGAUGGACUGCCUGGAAGCCCAGCACGUCUAGGGACCUAAAGAAGGAAAAAUUGCACUUGCCUGGCAUAGUAUUUUCCAGUGUUUCCUUUAAACAAUAUUAGUAUGAUGAUGCUUUUCUUUAAAUUUAUUGUUUUAUAUAAAUAAAAGCAAUAUCAAUGACUCUAAGAUGUAACUUUGCUGUCCUAAAGUCAUCUCAUCUUUUGUUUGUCUUAUGCUGUAAAACUCUGGAAGUGGAUCUGACAUUGUAAUCAUCCAAAAGUACUUGCUGCUCCUUUUUCAAAAAAGGAACAAAUGGUAGAAGAAAAUUUUAAAGUUGGGUCUACUUUGAACAACCAUUCUAUGUGGAUGGUAAUAGGACCACAGAGGCUUAUGGAAAGCACUUUGUAACUGGGGGGUUCCCCCCCUAGCAAUAAUAAAUGUCUCUUAUAACAGCA